RNAcentral lists this non-coding RNA (32 nucleotides) under Geobacter sulfurreducens KN400. Lineage: Bacteria; Pseudomonadati; Thermodesulfobacteriota; Desulfuromonadia; Geobacterales; Geobacteraceae. The record is from RNAcentral.
UAUCCGCCAGAAGGUUUCGAGGCUGUGGUGCA